CCCUUUACCGUCUCCCGGCCGCAUGGAUUCCCCUGUUCCCCGGUGAUUUCCAACGUGAAACUCGAGUCGAGGGAAAUUGCACAGCUCACCUAGAGCCAGCUUGACAGCAUAAUUUUUAGGACUCAAGAAUCAGCAUUGAUUUAUUUAAGAUUAAGCCUUGAAAGUCCACUUGGACAUGGCAUGCGAUGUACACACUUGAACAUGGAAAUGAUCUUCCCUCAAGGAGAUCUCUCUCUUCAGAGAACUGGUUCCAAGAAGAAGAGACACUCUAUCUGACCAAACUCAGCCAGACAAAUUUAAUCAGUGUUUUUGAGCAAAGAGUAAAGCUGUACAAGGGUGGCCUGAUCAUCCCUUUCUGCUUGCAUCCCCACGGAGCAGCCCCCUCCAGGAUGGCCACCUACAAGCAGGUUGUGCCUUGUACCAGGGCACCUGGCUGGGACAGCCAAUGAGAACUGAAAUCCUGCCAGGCUCCACUCACCAAGCCAGGUUUUUGGGUCCGUGCUUAUGUCUACUCGGAUGAUGUGGCUCCUUUCCUAAGUUGUACCAAUGCACCCUGUAUGGGCGAGGGGCAGUUCUGACCAUCCCCAUACCAUAUCCCAGUUCUACCUAGGAGUCCUUACCUCAGAUGGAAUGAUGAUUCUCAUGAACAGAUUAGGUUUGUUGUACAAGAUGAAAUUUUUGACCCAAAUUGAAGUUAAUUUCAUAGAUGAAGCUCAAAAUAUUACUAUGGAUGUGAAUUAUGUUUGUGCAUAUUUAUAUAUGCAUGUAUAUAUUGCUGUAGAUAUGAAAUAUGUUUGUAUGUAUUUAUAUAUAUCUAUAUAUAGUUAUGUGGAUACACAUUUUUAUGUAUCAGAAAUUAGCACAACUUAAACUUAGUAAAUGUUGAAAUUAAAACUA
Neogale vison (American mink) is the source of this 897-nucleotide long non-coding RNA. RefSeq lists it as uncharacterized. NCBI's taxonomy places the organism in Eukaryota, Metazoa, Chordata, Mammalia, Carnivora, Mustelidae. The transcript is spliced from 2 exons. The record is from RefSeq and is a predicted model, not a curated record.